Molecule: long non-coding RNA, 1929 nt
Organism: Brassica rapa (field mustard)
Lineage: Eukaryota; Viridiplantae; Streptophyta; Magnoliopsida; Brassicales; Brassicaceae
Source: RefSeq, a predicted model, not a curated record
CAGCACAGGUGUCGCAUUCUGAUUGGUGAAGGGGAGUAGAGUGUCGCAGCCUAGAUGACGAGAUUUCAGUAGUUGAAAGCAUCACUACCUUUUGCUAUGAUUCGAGUAGCAUGGGCACGUGGAAUCCUAUGUGAAUCAGCAAGGAUGAAACUGAUCAAAAUUAGAGAUCGUCAUUUUGGUUUAAUUUGGAGUUUAAUUUAGGUUCAGUUUGAUUUAAUGUAUUUGGAUCUGAGAAAACUUUAGUCAAAGUCAACUCAAAUUAGUUUAAUUUAGUUUGUGUUCAGUUUUGAUUUGGUUUUAGUUAGGGUUUGUGUUUGGUUAAGUUUGGUUUAAUUUGGUUUUGUUUGUGUAUGUACAGCUCAGUCAAGUUGUUUUCUUAGUUUUUUCUAGUUCGGUUACAAAAAAAAUAAAAUUUAUAAAAACAUAGAAGAAAUCAUUGUUUGACACUAAAUCACUUUUUCAUAUUUAAACGUAGAAAAUGUAAUCCAAUAAAUUUAUAUUAUUAUUUUCAAACCUAGUAUAAAUAUUAUAGAUAUUAUAGAUAAUUUUGAUUCAUAUUCAUAUUCUUUUAUUUUAUUUUAUGUUUAGUUGUGUUUCUUCUAUUCAUUUAGAAUUAAAAUAUAUAAAAUUAUAUUUAGUUUUUUAGGUUAAAUGGUAAAACAUCUUAAUUUUAAUAUAAUUAGUAUAUUUAGUUAAUCCAGUUAAAUGACUUCGAUUUUUCAGUUCGUUUUAAAACCAAACCAUCUAAAAUGAUUAAAAUUUUAACCAAAUGGUUUAGACAUAUGCUUUGAUCUGGUGUGGAUCUAUUUGAAUUAUGUUAGAUCAGUUUGGUUUUAUUGUUUUUUGUCGACUCUUGCUGAUCAAGAUAUUUGAGAAUCUAAGGAAAAGAAAGCACACAACACCUAACGUAGCCUUUCGGCCCGCCCAUAGAUUUCUUGUAGUGAAAAUAUGUAGGGUUAUAUCAUUUUUUUUCCGUCAAUUCGAAUUCAUUAAAUUGUUGCACAAGGCAAUUACUUCUACAAACAAACAAACAGCCAAUCCCCUACCAGGACUACUACACAUUGAUCCAGCAAAGAUCAGACCGCCUAAACCCCUUCAAGGCAAAAACAACUACACGAUAAACACUUAGAUAAUGUUUAGAGGGAUCGGCUUUCAUUAACAAAGAGCUCAAAAAGCCAAGAAGGGUGACCAUUGGCCACAUAAGAUUGAGUUCUGUUCUGUCUCGUUACGCUUUGAGCAAUGAACGACGCCCCUCUGUUUUCCUCAGUUGCUACUUUCCUCAAUUGAAACUCCUCCAUUCUUGCCAGAAGAAACCUCAUCUCCUCUAACUGAAAUCUGAGGGCUGGCCAUUGAUGUGGUUUUUGGAAUGCGAGAAAUAACUCUUUAAAGUCUCCCGCAAAGACCAUCCUGUCAUAGCGCAUACUCGUCAUACUCUCUAGCGCCCAUAACAACGUCUUUAAUCUCGCAUCAGCCAGAGAGACGACAUAAGAGAAAGCUCGUCUGCUGUGAGUCAAUACCACUCCUCUAUGAUUUCGAAUAACCCAUGCUCCGCCAAGAGUCUGCGUAUCCUUGUUCCACUCAAAGGCAAUGUUACACAUCAACCAACCCUCCUCAGGAGGCAGCCAUCGUUUUAAUCGUCUCGUUUUUUAAACUAAUGAAUAUUUUACAUGUCCUUUUUAAGAUAUCAAAUGAGACAGACUUGCUGUAUAUUUGGGCUGGCCCAAGCACUUUUGUGCAGAAAUGUGUGAUCAACCUUUUUUUUUGUGCAAACCAUAAUUUUAAUUGAAAUUGGGUGAAGUCCAGUUUAGAGGUCCAUCCGAAAGAGGCCCAUUACAAAUUAGAAGACAAACGGAGGGUCUCUUUUGCUAAGCGGUCAGCUUGCAGGUUUUGAGCCCCAGGAAGAAAAUCGAAAGAGAUAGAUUGAAAGAC